UUCAUUCGAAAUGGUUUGUUCCCAUUGAAUGAUUUUCUUCUUCUUUCUUUGUUUUUUUCUUUUAGUGAUCUUAAUGGAUGAAGAAAUUGCAGUGGAAAAAUGAAAAUCGAAAUGCAAGUUCAGCUUCUUGACUGGAUCGUUCUAUCGAUCCAGCCAAAAAUUUACUCAAAACCUUGCGAAAGCUAAUUCGCCAGCAUCACUCGUCUGAGUUUCUUGAUUCUGGAUCCUCAGGCCCUUUAAUUGCUGUUUUCGACUCUGAAUCUCUUGCGUAAUAUCAAGUUUUCUUCCAUUUGAAACUGCUUUCAUGAAAGUGUAAAAUGAAAACUGAGCAGUGUUCAUGGAUGGCUGGUCAGGUUAAUUCACGGUUGGCUUCAACAAGAUUUAAACAAAGAGAUCCAGUGGUACCCGGACUCGUAUCCAUCUAUCCAUCUUGCUAAUAUUUGUUUUGCAUCAGGCUAAAUUUGUCGAUGGAUUAUAUACACAGCUUUGCAAUGAAAAUGGUUCAUCACAACGAUUCUUCUUCUGUCUCUCAUUCCAUGCACAGCUUUUGGCAUUCAACAUCGUCUUGAUAAAACAUUUUUCAGACUUAAAGCUAUCACGAGGGAGCAACACAGCAAUUUUGAGCAGUUGAAUCAAAUACCAAUAGCCAAUCACAAGUUUCUGAGAAUGUGUUGCUGCUUCUCCAUUCAGCCCUGAAAUCCAUAUGCUUUCUACAGGUGUUGGGGAAGGUGAUUUACAAAGAGGAAGAGGAGUUACUCACAUUCUUACGUGAAGAGUAGGAUUACUGUUCCUUUUAGUUUCUCUUGUUCUUUUGAACUGGUUCUGAGUUCUGUUCAUGUUCAUGUUUGAAUUAUGUUUGAAUUGUAACAACCUUAAGAGGACCCAUCAACAUGGUGCAAGUGCUCAAAAUUCUCUAAUGUAAGUGACAAGUUUUACCAGAGACCAAUCUAAUAAGGAGAUAUACUGUUUCAAGUGCU
This is a long non-coding RNA of Cucurbita pepo subsp. pepo (vegetable marrow), 977 nucleotides long. RefSeq lists it as uncharacterized. Lineage: Eukaryota; Viridiplantae; Streptophyta; Magnoliopsida; Cucurbitales; Cucurbitaceae. The record is from RefSeq and is a predicted model, not a curated record.